This is a small nuclear RNA of Gorilla gorilla gorilla (western lowland gorilla), 101 nucleotides long. The record is from Ensembl. Lineage: Eukaryota; Metazoa; Chordata; Mammalia; Primates; Hominidae.
AUGCUCAUUUCAGUACAUAUACUAAAACUGGAAUGAUACAGAGAUUAGCACGGUCCCUGCACAAGGAUGACAUGAAAAUUUGUGAAGUGUUCCAUAUUAAA